RNAcentral lists this ribosomal RNA (301 nucleotides) under uncultured bacterium. RNAcentral describes it as "partial 16S ribosomal RNA". It matches the Rfam family "Bacterial small subunit ribosomal RNA", at positions 509 to 808 of the family's 1533-position model. The record is from RNAcentral.
CAGCGCCACGGGAAUACGUAGGGUGCAAGCGUUAAUCGGAAUUACUGGGCGUAAAGCGUGCGCAGGCGGUUUUGUAAGACAGAGGUGAAAUCCCCGGGCUCAACCUGGGAACUGCCUUUGUGACUGCAAGGCUAGAGUACGGCAGAGGGGGAUGGAAUUCCGCGUGUAGCAGUGAAAUGCGUAGAUAUGCGGAGGAACACCGAUGGCGAAGGCAAUCCCCUGGGCCUGUACUGACGCUCAUGCACGAAAGCGUGGGGAGCAAACAGGAUUAGAUACCCCAGUAGUCCCUGUCUCUUAUACA